UCAAGGUAUACCCAUGCCAGAGUCAAUUGCAGCCUCGAACCAUUGCCCAGCCUCCUGACCUGUGAGCACUGAAGGCGCUGUGCAGUG
This 87-nucleotide small nucleolar RNA is filed under the name Myotis lucifugus (little brown bat). RNAcentral's name for it is "Small nucleolar RNA SNORA42/SNORA80 family (ENSMLUG00000018269.1)". The record is from RNAcentral. Lineage: Eukaryota; Metazoa; Chordata; Mammalia; Chiroptera; Vespertilionidae.